Molecule: transfer RNA, 75 nt
Filed under: Dickeya solani
Lineage: Bacteria; Pseudomonadati; Pseudomonadota; Gammaproteobacteria; Enterobacterales; Pectobacteriaceae
Description: tRNA-Gln
Rfam family: tRNA
About the family: Transfer RNA (tRNA) molecules are approximately 80 nucleotides in length.
Source: RNAcentral
UGGGGUAUCGCCAAGCGGUAAGGCAGCGGAUUUUGAUUCCGCCACUCCCAGGUUCGAAUCCUGGUACCCCAGCCA